This 75-nucleotide transfer RNA is filed under the name bacterium. RNAcentral's name for it is "tRNA-Gly". It matches the Rfam family "tRNA". Rfam says of the family: Transfer RNA (tRNA) molecules are approximately 80 nucleotides in length. Their secondary structure includes four short double-helical elements and three loops (D, anti-codon, and T loops). The record is from RNAcentral.
GCGGCUGUAGCUCAGGGGUAGAGCAUCUCGUUGCCAACGAGAAUGUCGCGGGUUCGAUCCCCGCUAGCCGCUCCA